Passer montanus (Eurasian tree sparrow) is the source of this 829-nucleotide long non-coding RNA. RefSeq lists it as uncharacterized. Lineage: Eukaryota; Metazoa; Chordata; Aves; Passeriformes; Passeridae. The transcript is spliced from 2 exons. The record is from RefSeq and is a predicted model, not a curated record.
GGCAGCCGGAGGUGACCGCGGGCCCUGCAGCCCGGGACAGUGUCCCCUCGGCCGGGGGAUGGCAUCCCGCUAUCUCCCAGAGAAGCACUGUGGUCUUUUAGACACUAUUCCAAGGAUGGACUAACAGGGAAGGAUGAAAAUGGAACAACCUGUGUCACCACUCACGGGCUGGAGGAUGAGCCAAAGAUGGACAAAGCAGCUCCUUCCUUAUGCUGUAACCUUCCUGGGGUUCAAGAUGUGCCGUCCCCAAGGCAAGCCAUGUGCCUGUUCCCAUCUUCCUCCCUGCCUUUGCACAGGGUGGGAUGCACACAACACCGUGGCCAACCCUUGCUAAAGGGGAUCAGAGCAGCUUGAGCCCUCCCUCUGUGCAGGAGCCACCAGAGGGGGUGGAUGGAGAAGCACGGGCUGUGAAUAUCCAGAUCUGGCACUGGUGAGGCUGGAGCUCUGCUGGUGCCACUGAUGCCACCUCUGUCACCUCCAGGCACUGGCACCUGCCUCAGCUCCCACUCAUCAUUCCCAUUAUUUGAGGAACUUUCUGCAAGGCCAGAGCUGACCUAAAACUGAUGGUGACCAGCACAGAAAAAGGCAGAGGAUGUGGAGAGGGUUAAUUACACUCAUCACUACUGUCAGGUUCCUGUAAAAUCAUGCUUCCAUCAGUCAAUCAGGAGUGAAAAAUACUGCCUGGCACAGGGGACCAGACUUCAGAAACACAAAAGAAACCUACCAAAAGAGAGUGUGGAGAAGAUAGGUGUGAGGGCAGGGAAGGAAAUUUUAUCAGCUAAGGAGGUUCUGCUUCAAUUUAAGUCAAAUAAAGCAUCAAUAAACUAAA